CCACAAUAUUAUGCAGUUGGAAAAAUAUUAAUGUAUAGAAGUUCAUUUUCCAUUUCAUCCAGCCUCUCUUUUAGGAGAGUCGCGUUUAAAUUCUCGCUAAUUAAUGCUGACCUGAGAACAAUAAUGCGAUGCAACAUUCCAUUGUCUAACGGUUGACUCAUAUUCCUAAGUGGGUCACAGCAGAGAUCGAGGGCGCAAAAUAAAAUUUCUGACAUCAAAAAAUUAAGGACACUUAAUUUUAUGCGUGAAAAAUAAACGCUCCUCCGCAGACCGAGAGGAGAGCUGUAAAAAUAGCAGAAAUUGAAAUUCUCUCGUUGUUUUUAUAAGAUGCUUGCGUAUGCAAAUUCUUCGAAACCGGAUAAAAUGUAGAAGUUCUGUAUUUGCAUAUCAUUCUGUACAUCUCAUAACAAAGCCUUGGUCUCCCAUUUGUUUCUGAAGAAUACACAUUGGCGUUGCGAAAUAUAUGUGAAAAUAUCUUUAUGCAUGAUCAUAUCCAAAACAUUUACUCCUACGAUGUCGUGUUCUGACACAUUGUUGGGUGAAGAAUCAAAUCAUAUGUACAUUGUUUAAUGGUAUGACUUUGUUAUAUUUGUAGUUUUUACGGCUAAUGCGAUCAUCCAAAAAAA
RNAcentral lists this unclassified non-coding RNA (626 nucleotides) under Melitaea cinxia (Glanville fritillary). RNAcentral describes it as "misc RNA ENSMCXG00005011542.1". Lineage: Eukaryota; Metazoa; Arthropoda; Insecta; Lepidoptera; Nymphalidae. The record is from RNAcentral.